Molecule: ribosomal RNA, 816 nt
Filed under: Microbacterium sp.
Lineage: Bacteria; Bacillati; Actinomycetota; Actinomycetes; Micrococcales; Microbacteriaceae
Description: bacterial SSU rRNA
Rfam family: Bacterial small subunit ribosomal RNA
Source: RNAcentral
UGCAGUCGACGGUGAGCAGAGCUUGCUCUGUGGAUCAGUGGCGAACGGGUGAGUAACACGUGAGCAACCUGCCCUGGACUCUGGGAUAAGCGCUGGAAACGGCGUCUAAUACUGGAUACGAGACGUGGCCGCAUGGUCAACGUUUGGAAAGAUUUUUUGGUUCAGGAUGGGCUCGCGGCCUAUCAGCUUGUUGGUGAGGUAAUGGCUCACCAAGGCGUCGACGGGUAGCCGGCCUGAGAGGGUGACCGGCCACACUGGGACUGAGACACGGCCCAGACUCCUACGGGAGGCAGCAGUGGGGAAUAUUGCACAAUGGGCGAAAGCCUGAUGCAGCAACGCCGCGUGAGGGAUGACGGCCUUCGGGUUGUAAACCUCUUUUAGCAAGGAAGAAGCGAAAGUGACGGUACUUGCAGAAAAAGCGCCGGCUAACUACGUGCCAGCAGCCGCGGUAAUACGUAGGGCGCAAGCGUUAUCCGGAAUUAUUGGGCGUAAAGAGCUCGUAGGCGGUUUGUCGCGUCUGCUGUGAAAACUGGAGGCUCAACCUCCAGCCUGCAGUGGGUACGGGCAGACUAGAGUGCGGUAGGGGAGAUUGGAAUUCCUGGUGUAGCGGUGGAAUGCGCAGAUAUCAGGAGGAACACCGAUGGCGAAGGCAGAUCUCUGGGCCGUAACUGACGCUGAGGAGCGAAAGGGUGGGGAGCAAACAGGCUUAGAUACCCUGGUAGUCCACCCCGUAAACGUUGGGAACUAGUUGUGGGGACCAUUCCACGGUUUCCGUGACGCAGCUAACGCAUUAAGUUCCCCGCCUGGGGAGUACGG